RNAcentral lists this ribosomal RNA (468 nucleotides) under uncultured bacterium. RNAcentral describes it as "partial 16S ribosomal RNA". It matches the Rfam family "Bacterial small subunit ribosomal RNA", at positions 28 to 507 of the family's 1533-position model. The record is from RNAcentral.
GACGAACGCUGGCGGCGUGCUUAACACAUGCAAGUCGAACGGAAAGACCCUGCUUUUGUGGGGUGCUCGAGUGGCGAACGGGUGAGUAACACGUGAGUAACCUGCCCUUGACUUUGGGAUAACUUCAGGAAACUGGGGCUAAUACCGGAUAGGAGCUCCUGCUGCAUGGUGGGGGUUGGAAAGUUUCGGCGGUUGGGGAUGGACUCGCGGCUUAUCAGCUUGUUGGUGGGGUAGUGGCUUACCAAGGCUUUGACGGGUAGCCGGCCUGAGAGGGUGACCGGCCACAUUGGGACUGAGAGACGGACCAGACUCCUACGGGAGGCAGCAGUGGGGAAUAUUGCACAAUGGGCGGAAGCCUGAUGCAGCAACGCCGCGUGCGGGAUGACGGCCUUCGGGUUGUAAACCGCUUUCGCCUGUGACGAAGCGUGAGUGACGGUAAUGGGUAAAGAAGCACCGGCUAACUACGUG